Clupea harengus (Atlantic herring) is the source of this 110-nucleotide non-coding RNA. The record is from RefSeq and is a predicted model, not a curated record. NCBI's taxonomy places the organism in Eukaryota, Metazoa, Chordata, Actinopteri, Clupeiformes, Clupeidae.
AUGCUCGCUUCGGCAGCACAUAUACUAAAAUUGGAAUAAUACAGAGAAGAUUAGCAUGGCCCCUCAGACGAAGGAGGUAAUGGUUCUUCACGGUGGCCAGCGCCAUGUUA